This 458-nucleotide ribosomal RNA is filed under the name uncultured bacterium. RNAcentral describes it as "SSU rRNA". It matches the Rfam family "Bacterial small subunit ribosomal RNA", at positions 26 to 518 of the family's 1533-position model. The record is from RNAcentral.
AGAAUCAACGCUGGCGGCGUGCCUAACACAUGCAAGUCGAACGAGAAAGGGUAGCAAUACCUGAGUAAAGUGGCGCACGGGUGAGUAACACGUGACUAACCUACCUUUUAGUGGGGGAUAACCUAGGGAAACCUGGGCUAAUACCGCAUAAUACCUACGGGUCAAAGCAGCAAUGCGCUGAAUGAGGGGGUCGCGGUCGAUUAGUUAGUUGGCAGGGUAAUGGCCUACCAAGACUGUGAUCGAUAUCCGGCCUGAGAGGGCGCACGGACACACUGGAACUGAAACACGGUCCAGACUCCUACGGGAGGCAGCAGUGGGGAAUUUUGCGCAAUGGGGGAAACCCUGACGCAGCAACGCCGCGUGGAGGAUGAAGUCCCUUGGGACGUAAACUCCUUUCGAUCGGACGAUAAUGACGGUACCGGAAGAAGAGCCCCGGCUAACUUCGCGCCAGCAGCCGC